RNAcentral lists this ribosomal RNA (241 nucleotides) under uncultured bacterium. RNAcentral's name for it is "partial 16S ribosomal RNA". It matches the Rfam family "Bacterial small subunit ribosomal RNA", at positions 678 to 916 of the family's 1533-position model. The record is from RNAcentral.
GCGGUGAAAUGCGUAGAUAUCAGGAGGAACACCGGUGGCGAAGGCGGGUCUCUGGGCAAUAACUGACGCUGAGGAGCGAAAGCGUGGGGAGCGAACAGGAUUAGAUACCCUGGUAGUCCACGCCGUAAACGUUGGGCGCUAGGUGUGGGGCUCAUUCCACGAGUUCCGUGCCGCAGCUAACGCAUUAAGCGCCCCGCCUGGGGAGUACGGCCGCAAGGCUAAAACUCAAAUGAAUUGACGG